RNAcentral lists this ribosomal RNA (570 nucleotides) under bacterium 451. Its description in RNAcentral is "bacterial SSU rRNA". It matches the Rfam family "Bacterial small subunit ribosomal RNA", at positions 354 to 914 of the family's 1533-position model. The record is from RNAcentral.
CUGGGGAAUAUUGGACAAUGGGCGCAAGCCUGAUCCAGCCAUGCCGCGUGUGUGAAGAAGGCCUUCGGGUUGUAAAGCACUUUUGUCCGGAAAGAAAAGCUUCGGGUUAAUAACCCGGAGUUAUGACGGUACCGGAAGAAUAAGCACCGGCUAACUUCGUGCCAGCAGCCGCGGUAAUACGAAGGGUGCAAGCGUUACUCGGAAUUACUGGGCGUAAAGCGUGCGUAGGUGGUUUGUUAAGUCUGAUGUGAAAGCCCUGGGCUCAACCUGGGAACUGCAUUGGAAACUGGCUGACUAGAGUGCGGUAGAGGGGUGUGGAAUUCCCGGUGUAGCAGUGAAAUGCGUAGAUAUCGGGAGGAACAUCUGUGGCGAAGGCGACACCCUGGACCAGCACUGACACUGAGGCACGAAAGCGUGGGGAGCAAACAGGAUUAGAUACCCUGGUAGUCCACGCCCUAAACGAUGCGAACUGGAUGUUGGGGGCAACUUGGCCCUCAGUAUCGAAGCUAACGCGUUAAGUUCGCCGCCUGGGAAAGUACGGUCGCAAGACUGAAACUCAAAGGAAUUGAC